UGGCAUUGUAUCGUGACCCAAAGGGAGAGUACGUCUUUAAGAAAAGUACACCUGAUGUUGGAAACAUUCAGCUUCAAAGUCUGAAUACUGAUAAAUCAAGCAGUGAUACUGUGGCAAGGAUGAGAGCUCGUGUCAAAGAGCUUGAAGAGAAAGUUGAUAAAUUGAGAAUGAAUGUCAGAAAAUUCAGUUUACCAGCUACAACUGAGAGUUUUGGCAUUGAAGAAGAAAAAGAACAUUAUCUGUAGUAGACUGUGUUUAUAGUAGCUAGUGAGAUCUGAGCAAUAGUUUUUGUUCUUAGUUAGUUAGUAUCUAGUUAUUAUGAAAAUAGCAAUAAAACUUUUA
This is a long non-coding RNA of Amphimedon queenslandica, 342 nucleotides long. RefSeq lists it as uncharacterized. NCBI's taxonomy places the organism in Eukaryota, Metazoa, Porifera, Demospongiae, Haplosclerida, Niphatidae. The transcript is spliced from 2 exons. The record is from RefSeq and is a predicted model, not a curated record.